GGCUGCUCUGAGUGCAGUGAUGUUUACAACUAGUUGAUCACAACCACUUACAGACUUUGUUCCUACUCCAUUCCAACUGCUUCACUUGACUAGUCUUUA
RNAcentral lists this Y RNA (99 nucleotides) under Saimiri boliviensis boliviensis (Bolivian squirrel monkey). RNAcentral's name for it is "Y RNA (ENSSBOG00000004244.1)". It matches the Rfam family "Y RNA". Rfam says of the family: Y RNAs are components of the Ro ribonucleoprotein particle (Ro RNP), in association with Ro60 and La proteins. The Y RNAs and Ro60 and La proteins are well conserved, but the function of the Ro RNP is not known. In humans the RNA component can be one of four small RNAs -- hY1, hY3, hY4 and hY5. Lineage: Eukaryota; Metazoa; Chordata; Mammalia; Primates; Cebidae. The record is from Rfam by way of RNAcentral.